UACGAAGGGGGCGAGCGUUGUUCGGAAUUACUGGGCGUAAAGGGCGCGCAGGCGGCUCUGAAAGUCAGAUGUGAAAGCCCCGGGCUUAACCUGGGAACUGCAUUUGAUACUCUAGAGCUUGAGUACGGGAGAGGAGAGUGGAAUUCCCAGUGUAGAGGUGAAAUUCGUAGAUAUUGGGAAGAACACCAGUGGCGAAGGCGGCUCUCUGGACCGUAACUGACGCUGAUGCACGAAAGCUGGGGGAGCAAACAGG
RNAcentral lists this ribosomal RNA (253 nucleotides) under uncultured bacterium. RNAcentral's name for it is "partial 16S ribosomal RNA". It matches the Rfam family "Bacterial small subunit ribosomal RNA", at positions 524 to 776 of the family's 1533-position model. The record is from RNAcentral.